RNAcentral lists this ribosomal RNA (300 nucleotides) under uncultured bacterium. RNAcentral describes it as "bacterial SSU rRNA". It matches the Rfam family "Bacterial small subunit ribosomal RNA", at positions 334 to 651 of the family's 1533-position model. The record is from RNAcentral.
UAAGCCUACGGGGCGCAGCAGUGGGGGAUAUUGCACAAUGGGGGAAACCCUGAUGCAGCGACGCCGCGUGAGUGAAGAAGUCAUUCGUGAUGUAAAGCUCUAUCAGCAGGGAAGAAAAUGACGGUACCUGAGUAAGAAGCCCCGGCUAAAUACGUGCCAGCAGCCGCGGUAAUACGUAUGGAGCAAGCGUUAUCCGGAUUUACUGGGUGUAAAGGGAGCGCAGGCGGUCUGGCAAGUCUGAUGUGAAAUACCGGGGCUCAACUCCGGGACUGCAUUGGAAACUGUCAGACUGUAGUGUCG